RNAcentral lists this ribosomal RNA (243 nucleotides) under Aclees indignus. RNAcentral describes it as "partial 16S ribosomal RNA". The stretch from base 87 to 243 matches the Rfam family "Bacterial large subunit ribosomal RNA", at positions 2473 to 2630 of the family's 2925-position model. Lineage: Eukaryota; Metazoa; Arthropoda; Insecta; Coleoptera; Curculionidae. The record is from RNAcentral.
AAUUAAAUAAACUUUUUUUUUAUAAAAACAUUGAUUUAUGAUUAAUUGAUCCUUAUAUAGAGAUUAAAAGAUAAAAUUACCUUAGGGAUAACAGCGUAAUUUUUUUUGAGAGUUCUAAUCGAAAAAAGAGAUUGCGACCUCGAUGUUGGAUUAAAAUUUAUUUUUGGUGUAGAAGCUAAAAAAUUAGGUCUGUUCGACCUUUAAAAUUUUACAUGAUCUGAGUUUAGACCGGCGUGAGCCAGG